Molecule: long non-coding RNA, 1313 nt
Organism: Perognathus longimembris pacificus (Pacific pocket mouse)
Lineage: Eukaryota; Metazoa; Chordata; Mammalia; Rodentia; Heteromyidae
Exons: 2
Source: RefSeq, a predicted model, not a curated record
UGGCUUCAAACUAAAAUCAUCAGAUCUUAGCCUCCUGAAUAGCUAGGAUUACAAGCAUGAGCCACCAGUGUCCAGUGUUAGUAAAGCUGUAUAAAGUUACCACUGGAGCUACUGAUAUCACAUUACAAUAAACUUGAAAAGUUUAUCAUAUUAAGAAAAGAAAGUCAGGACAGCAUGUUUGAAAACACCCUGAAAAUCCAAACUGUAGCAUCUAUCUGAUAGGUGCUGUCAUGCUAGAAUGAAGGUCAUGAUUACACAGGAUUGUGGGGUGCUAUUUGGGGGAAAGUAAGCACUUGCCAUUUGAUGUUAACAGAGUUGUCUCUCAUCAGAGUUCUGACCUGAAUGCAACACAUUCUUCCAUCUUUGCCAGGAAUGUGACUGGCUGUCUUCUUUUGAGAUUACAUAAAAAUACAACAGAAAUGUGUCCUGAAUAUCAGUAUAGCCCACUCUUACCAUCAUCAAAGCACCUUCUCAGUAUGUUAUCAAAGAUAGCCAAAAAGACAGAAGCGACUUUGCUCCUACUCUUUCCUUCCUUUCCAAGAACAAGAUUUCAUGGUCAAGUGAGUUGAGAGUUCACACUUACUUUUACUAGUGAGCUAAGGUGAUCACAUGAUCCUAUUUUUGUCUGAGCUACUGACUUAUUUUUUCUUCUUCUAAAAUUAAGGGUCAAGGAGAUUCAACUCAUCUGAAUCAAAGGCAUAGCCACAGAUAGUACCAUGGUUGGGAAUCUCCAAAAAUUUAUCAUUAAGAAGUCAUUUUUUUAUUUUAAAUUUAUCAAUUCACCUCUAGCCAGGUAAUGAAAUAUUUAAGUGGGUAGAAGAGUGUGAGGAUAAAAUAUAUCAAUCAUAUAUGUAAACUCAGCUGACAGGAUCUCUUCCUCAAGAGUUAGUCAUGUGGCUGUCAUGAGCAAAAUAAACAGAAUGUGCUUGAUGUUUCAAGGAAAACCUGGUGUUUAUCCUUCAUUUUACAUAUUGCUUCUAUCUGUCCUUUUCUGUUCAGUCUAACAUGAAACCAAGCUGGUGUUAGGCUUUGAGUUUAUAUUUUUUUCUUGGGAUGUGCUAUUUUCUUAUGUGGUCCCACUUUGUUUCUUUUUCCAUAUAGAUCCUCUAUCAGAUAACUGGAACUCAGUCUUUGAGGUUGGUCUGAUAAGCAGUAGUUGUUAAUUUAGGCAAAUGCUGGUCAUGGUAAGCCAUAGUUUUAUGUGCCAACAAAUGAUUCUGUGCUUACAAACUGCUACCAAGGAUCUUAGCUAUACUCUUAAGUGAUCAGAAAUAAUCUAAAAUGUGAAUAAUUUCUCCAAAUACAUAAGAAAU